GACGAACGCUGGCGGCGUGCUUAACACAUGCAAGUCGAACGAUGAAGCUAGAGCUUGCUCUGGUGGAUUAGUGGCGAACGGGUGAGUAACACGUGAGUAACCUGCCCCGAACUCUGGGAUAACUGCUGGAAACGGUAGCUAAUACCGGAUAUGACCAAUGAAGGCAUCUUCUGUUUGUGGCAAGAAUUUCGGUUCGGGAUGGACUCGCGGCCUAUCAGCUUGUUGGUUAGGUAACGGCUAACCAAGGCGACGACGGGUAGCCGGCCCGAGAGGGUGAUCGGCCACACUGGGACUGAGACACGGCCCAGACUCCUACGGGAGGCAGCAGUGGGGAAUAUUGCACAAUGGGCGCAAGCCUGAUGCAGCAACGCCGCGUGAGGGACGACGGCCUUCGGGUUGUAAACCUCUUUUAGUAGGGAAGAAGCGAAAGUGACGGUACCUGCAGAAAAAGCACCGGCUAACUACGUGCCAGCCGCCGCAGUAA
This 484-nucleotide ribosomal RNA is filed under the name uncultured bacterium. Its description in RNAcentral is "partial 16S ribosomal RNA". It matches the Rfam family "Bacterial small subunit ribosomal RNA", at positions 28 to 523 of the family's 1533-position model. The record is from RNAcentral.